This 740-nucleotide ribosomal RNA is filed under the name Vermamoeba vermiformis. RNAcentral describes it as "SSU rRNA". It matches the Rfam family "Eukaryotic small subunit ribosomal RNA", at positions 576 to 1326 of the family's 1831-position model. The record is from RNAcentral. Lineage: Eukaryota; Tubulinea; Echinamoebida; Vermamoebidae.
CGGCGGUAAUUCCAGCUCCAAUAGCGUAUAUUAAAGUUGUUGCAGUUAAAAAGCUCGUAGUUGGAUUUCGGAAGGUCCUUAGYAGUCCGCCCCUUCGGGGAGCGGGCUGCUGGCCUCCUAUGUUCCUAACGGUCCUCAUCCGCGAGGGUGGGGAAUCAACCGCUAGGAUCGUUUACUUUGAGGAAAUUAGAGUGUUCAAAGCAGGCGUAACUCGCCUCCGAAUACGUUAGCAUGGGAUAAUGGAAUACGACUUCGGUCUUGUUUCGUUGGUUUCGCUUGGCUGAAGUAAUGAUUGAUAGGGACAGUUGGGGGCAUUAGUAUUUAGUUGUCAGAGGUGAAAUUCUAGGAUUUACUAAAGACUGACCAAUGCGAAAGCAUUUGCCAAGGAUGUUUUCAUUAAUCAAGAACGAAAGUAGGGGGAUCGAAGACGAUCAGAUACCGUCGUAGUCUCUACCGUAAACUAUGCCGACCAGGGAUCCGGAGAGUUUGCAUGGAUGACUCCCCGGGCACCUUGUGAGAAAUCAUAAGUGUUUGGGUUUUGGGGGGAGUAUGGUCGCAAGGCUGAAACUUAAAGGAAUUGACGGAAGGGCACCACCAGGAGUGGAACCUGCGGCUUAAUUUGACUCAACACGGGGAAACUUACGAGGUCAGGACACUGUGAGGAUUGACAGAUUGAAAGCUCUUUCUUGAUUCAGUGGGUGGUGGUGCAUGGCCGUUCUUAGUUGGUGGAGUGAUUUGUC